Molecule: ribosomal RNA, 396 nt
Filed under: bacterium enrichment culture
Lineage: Bacteria
Description: bacterial SSU rRNA
Rfam family: Bacterial small subunit ribosomal RNA
Source: RNAcentral
UAAUACGUAGGGUGCGAGCGUUAAUCGGAAUUACUGGGCGUAAAGCGAGCGCAGACGGUUAUUUAAGCAAGAUGUGAAAGCCCCGGGCUCAACCUGGGAACUGCGUUUUGAACUGGGUAACUAGAGUGUGUCAGAGGGGGGUAGAAUUCCACGUGUAGCAGUGAAAUGCGUAGAGAUGUGGAGGAAUACCGAUGGCGAAGGCAGCCCCCUGGGAUAACACUGACGUUCAUGCUCGAAAGCGUGGGUAGCAAACAGGAUUAGAUACCCUGGUAGUCCACGCCCUAAACGAUGUCAAUUAGCUGUUGGGGUACAUGAUGCCUUAGUAGCGUAGCUAACGCGUGAAAUUGACCGCCUGGGGAGUACGGUCGCAAGAUUAAAACUCAAAGGAAUUGACGG